RNAcentral lists this ribosomal RNA (497 nucleotides) under uncultured bacterium. Its description in RNAcentral is "partial 16S ribosomal RNA". It matches the Rfam family "Bacterial small subunit ribosomal RNA", at positions 28 to 507 of the family's 1533-position model. The record is from RNAcentral.
GAUGAACGCUGGCGGCGUGCCUAAUACAUGCAAGUCGAGCGAACGGACGAGAAUCUUGCGUCUCUGACGUUAGCGGCGGACGGGUGAGUAACACGUGGAUAACCUACCUAUCAUACUGGGAUAAUUUCGGGAAACCGUAGCUAAUACCGGAUAAUAUUUUGAACCGCGUGGGUCAAAGGUGAAAGUCGGUCUUUGGGUCUCGUAUAGCGGCAUCCGCGCUGUUUUGUGUAGUUGGGAGGGUAACAGCCUUUCAAGGCUAGCAGGCCUAGCCGACGUCAGGGGGGGAUAGGCCACCUUGGAACGGAGACAGGGUCAAGACUCCUACGGGAGGGCGCAGUCGGGAAUCUUCCGCAAUAGGCGAAAGCCUGACAGAGCAACGCGGCGUGAGUGAUGAAGGUCUUCGGAUCGUAAAGCUCUGUUAUUGGGGAAGAACAUAUGUGGACUUAGCCGUGGACAGCUUGACGGUACCUAAUCAGAAAGCAACGGCUAACUACGUG